RNAcentral lists this microRNA precursor (80 nucleotides) under Puccinia sorghi. RNAcentral describes it as "mir-218". Lineage: Eukaryota; Fungi; Basidiomycota; Pucciniomycetes; Pucciniales; Pucciniaceae. The record is from RNAcentral.
GGUACAAAGGGGUCCCUUUGUACUUAGCAAGGCAAUGUGUGCACAUUGCCUUGUUAGGUACAAAGGGGUCCCUUUGUACU